RNAcentral lists this non-coding RNA (81 nucleotides) under Archangium gephyra. Its description in RNAcentral is "c-di-GMP sequence". It matches the Rfam family "c-di-GMP-I riboswitch aptamer". Rfam says of the family: GEMM was predicted in a large-scale screen for bacterial structured RNA regulatory elements. Genes associated with GEMM are involved in a diverse array of functions, including chemotaxis regulation, signal transduction, secretion and chitin. Lineage: Bacteria; Pseudomonadati; Myxococcota; Myxococcia; Myxococcales; Archangiaceae. The record is from RNAcentral.
CUGUACCAAGGGCAAUCCCGGGUGAAAGCCUGGGUGCGCAAAGCCGUGGGGCCUGAAGUGCGGCCGGCCGUGGUUGCCGUG